Molecule: ribosomal RNA, 470 nt
Filed under: uncultured bacterium
Lineage: Bacteria
Description: partial 16S ribosomal RNA
Rfam family: Bacterial small subunit ribosomal RNA
Source: RNAcentral
GACGAACGCUGGCGGCGUGCUUAACACAUGCAAGUCGAACGAUGAAGCCUAGCUUGCUAGGUGGAUUAGUGGCGAACGGGUGAGUAAUACGUGAGUAACCUACCUUUAACUCUGGGAUAAGCCCGGGAAACUGGGUCUAAUACCGGAUACGACCAAUCUCCGCAUGGGGUGUUGGUGGAAAGCGUUAUGUAGUGGUUAUAGAUGGGCUCACGGCCUAUCAGCUUGUUGGUGAGGUAACGGCUCACCAAGGCGACGACGGGUAGCCGGCCUGAGAGGGUGACCGGCCCCCCUGGGACCGAGAACCGGCCCAGACUCCUACGGGAGGGAGGCGUGGGGAAUAAUGCCAAAAGGGCGCCAGCCUGAUGCAGCCACGCCGGGUGAGGGAUGACGGCCUUCCGGUUUUAAACCUCUGUUAGCAGGGAAGAAGAGAGAUUGACGGUACCUGCAGAGAAAGCGCCGGCUAACUACGU